Molecule: long non-coding RNA, 1917 nt
Organism: Bombus impatiens (common eastern bumble bee)
Lineage: Eukaryota; Metazoa; Arthropoda; Insecta; Hymenoptera; Apidae
Exons: 2
Source: RefSeq, a predicted model, not a curated record
CAGUCUGGAAUUCGAGAAAAACACAGUACUUUUUUAGAAAGUUCAUUAUAGCACACUAGCGCUUCACGCGGUGCAGUACUAACAAACCUUUUUCUCUCUAGCACGUAAGGCUCACACAUGCGUUCCUUCUCCAGAAAGAUUAUAGAACAGGUAAUCGUAACUCACCUCCACUAAGUCGGUUCUAUCGUAACUACUGAACGGAUCCAUUAUUAAGUUCAUUCGAUUCUUCAACUAAGCAAAUGCAAAGACUGUCGUACAAACGUAACAAUAUGUUCGUUACAGAGAAGUGUCACGAUUUACGCGAAGGUAAAUGUAUGUCACAGCGCGGCGUGAACAAGUCGCAUCACUGUCUGUUGGAAAACAGAUCGAAAACAAUUAUACUUCAAACUAAGCACGAGGUCGCGGCGUUGUCGCGCAACGCGAUACUGAUCGCCGGUCGCCGAAAUGUCUCUGACGAAGACGCCAGGCGAUGUGGUGACGCGAAAGACGUCAGCGGGAGUAUCACGGGGACGGAUAGCGCGGAAGAGCAGGUUUCAACGGGGAUUUCCCGCUCUUUGGAAUUGACCAAUCAUCGGCGACGUGCUUCACGAUAGCUGACGCAAUAAUUGCGGAUACACACCAUUGGCGGCGGUUGCCGAGAUCCGGAGAAUUCGAGACGAAAACGCAACCGAAAAUAUAGCUAACGCGACGGUUAUUCCCCGAGUGGCUUCAUUAUUUUGCGAUCCAACGAGGUCGACCGGACGGUGCACUGGGGUAUCCGUAUCAUCGAAAAUCUGGCCGAAAAUUCAUCUUCUUUAAUCUUUCCUCAACUGUGAAAUUUUCAUUCUUAGGAAAAACCAAAGCAGGAAUAUUAUAUUUACAAAUUUUAUUUCUGCACCUUUGAAGUGAUACAUACGUGUAAUAAAUAAAGCUAAAUUUUGAUAAUGGUCUCCUCAGCCCUUAUAUACCGUAUUUUUUAUUGUUGUAUCAACUACUCUCUUAUGAUAAACAAUAUUUUAAAAUGGACUAUAAUUUAUUCAUGUUUUUUAAGAAUGUCAUGUAUCACUUAAAAUAUCAUCCUGUUAUAUUUCAGGAUACAUCCCAAUUUUUGUAAAAAAAAUUAAUUGUAAAGAAUGCUUUGUUACGCUUAUAGUAUAAUCGCUCGAAUUGAAUUUCUUUAGCUAUUGUAAGUAGAAAUGAUAAUAAUGUUACGUAUUUUUUAAACCACUAGAAUCAUUUGGAAUUAAUUUGAUAGUGCGGAAUCAAUUUGCGAUAUAAUGCAAGAGCGAAAGUUUAGAAAAAGAAACGGAAUAUCUUGUAGACUUUCGUCGAACCAAGAAAAUUUUUAAGAAGAACCUCAAGCGUUUAAACACAAAAUGCAUAUCUCGCUUAAAGUAGAAGAGAAGAGGGUUGCAUCAUAAGGGGUUAUAGUGUACUAUUCAAAAUUCUGACAUGUAAAAUAGAUCCUCUGGUUUAUAUAAAAAGAGAGUUUUUUAAAUAUAUAUUUGGACAAAUAUAUGUUAUGGAAAAUUCAUAUGUGGCGUUUAAAAUACGUUUUUUCCAAACAAAUACAUAGGUUGUUUGCCGCCAAGUAGAAACACGUGUUGCGAAGAUUCGAGUUUUCGCAGUUCAAAUUACUAAAUCAACCAAACGAUAUCAAUCUUUUUUAAGGUUAAAAGGUUGUACGUCCAAUCGGUUGUAUAUAAAAUGAUUCCGCAAAAACAAAUAACAGAUAACAAAUGAUCGAAUGUAAUUAAGUGUGCAUGUCUGUGUACAAAUAUCUUAAAUAUACUUUAUACUUUCAUUAACUAAACAACGCAUGAAAGAGUUAUCGGAUAUAAAUAUGUUGUCAUAGAUGGAAUUUCAUUCAAUGAUUUAAUGUAAUGAUUUAUAAUAAUACUAAUUUGGGUCAGUAAGGUAAAUUUUUCUAGUGAAUAA